UGGGGAAUUUUGGACAAUGGGCGAAAGCCUGAUCCAGCAAUGCCGCGUGUGUGAAGAAGGCCUUCGGGUUGUAAAGCACUUUUGUCCGGAAAGAAAUCCUUGGCUCUAAUACAGUCGGGGGAUGACGGUACCGGAAGAAUAAGCACCGGCUAACUACGUGCCAGCAGCCGCGGUAGUACGUAGGGUGCAAGCGUUAAUCGGAAUUACUGGGCGUAAAGCGUGCGCAGGCGGUUUGCUAAGACCGAUGUGAAAUCCCCGGGCUCAACCUGGGAACUGCAUUGGUGACUGGCAGGCUAGAGUAUGGCAGAGGGGGGUAGAAUUCCACGUGUAGCAGUGAAAUGCGUAGAGAUGUGGAGGAAUACCGAUGGCGAAGGCAGCCCCCUGGGCCAAAUACUGACGCUCAUGCACGAAAGCGUGGGGAGCAAACAGGAUUAGAUACCCUGGUAGUCCACGCCCUAAACGAUGUCAACUAGUUGUUGGGGAUUCAUUUCCUUAGUAACGUAGCUAACGCGUGAAGUUGACCGCCUGGGGAGUACGGUCGCAAGAUUAAAACUCAAAUGAAUUGACGGGGUCAUAGCUGUUUCCU
This 586-nucleotide ribosomal RNA is filed under the name uncultured bacterium. RNAcentral's name for it is "partial 16S ribosomal RNA". It matches the Rfam family "Bacterial small subunit ribosomal RNA", at positions 355 to 1375 of the family's 1533-position model. The record is from RNAcentral.